This 16-nucleotide transfer RNA is filed under the name Grammitis reinwardtii. RNAcentral describes it as "partial tRNA-Ser". Lineage: Eukaryota; Viridiplantae; Streptophyta; Polypodiopsida; Polypodiales; Polypodiaceae. The record is from RNAcentral.
AGGAACGGGAGGGAUU